CACCAAGAACAUCUAAAAAUGAACAACUGUCUUCGCAAGCAGAAGGAACGCCACUGACACCUGUACAUGGAUAAGGAACAUACAAUAACAUAGAAUAUGAAGGCAUGGAAGGAUAGUCUUUGAAGAUAACAACUUUGUAGACUUCUGCAAUGAUGUUUUAAAGUAUUUUUUUUUAAAUGUUCGAUGGUAUGCAAUAGUUAGACUGACGUCACCUGGAGAUAUUGAUGAAUCAAGAGACUGCCAUACAUACAGGAUGUCCUAUAUAUGUAUUGUGAUGUUUAUAUCUAAUUUGCAUGAUUUUUCUUCAAAGUUUUAUUUUACCUUAUUAUAAAAAAUUUUAAUUGUGUUUUACAUUGAAAUUCUAUUUUAUUCUUUUUACAUGAAACCUGUGUUCAGUUUUUAGAAUUGUGUUCCGUUUUGCUAACAGUAUUUUUAUUUAUAAAUUGUGUUCAAUUUUUACAUAUAUUUGUAAAUUGUGUUCAAUGUUUACAUAUAUUUGUAAACUGUGUUCAAUCUUUGCAUAUAUUUGUAAAUUCUGUUCCAUUUUUAUAUAUAAUUGUGUUUACUUUAUAUAUAGAAUAUUGUGUUCAAUUGUUUACGUUGAAAUUUGUGUUCCAUUUUAGUUCACUUAUCUAUCAACUGUCUGCCCGCCCGUCCAUAAACAUUUUACACUUUUAUUUUCUUCUCUAAAACGCUGGAGCAGUGUCAUUCAAAAGUGAGAUAAAGUAUUCCUGGGUAAAGGGUUUCUAAGUACGUAUGCUAAUUUCAAAAGAGAUGUAAGCAAUAUCAUAAAAUGGAGUGGACUACUUUAAAAGUAUUCUUCUGAAAAAUCACUGGUCCAGAAAAGACAAAACUUACAAGAAAACUUCCUUAAAGAACGUAAAUUCAGAAUUGUUCAAACCAUCGCCCUACAGGGGUAGGAUAAGGCCACGACAACGGAUCAUUGUAUAUAAGUGGGUAUAUAAGGAAAUAUAGUUUUUAAAUAUUUUCUUGAAGACCAACAAAUCCUUGAUAAGUCAUAUUUAUGUGCAAGUAUCCUCAGGCAAUGCAGUUUGAAACUUUUGCAAAUUAUUACUGCGGUUGGUAAGGUGGUACCACAAGAUGAAAUCGCGAUUUCAUAUUGGAAUCUACAGAGUAAAAGAGAACCAUAAUUUUUUUAUUAAUAAGCAAGCAUCUCUAGGUAGUGUAGAUACAGGUUUGUUCAAUUAGGGGCUGCGGGGGUUGGAUGAGGCCAGAAUGGUGGAUCAAACCUUUAGAUGGGAAUAUAUUAUCAAAUAUCUUUAAAAUCUCCCUAUGAUCAGCUAAUAAUUAGUCAUGUUAAUAGGCAGAUAUCCUCAGAUAGUUUAUACUAAUAGGUUUUGAAAUAAUUGUCCCCCCCCCGCCCAACGUAGGGUGAGACCACAAUAGGGAUAUCAUUGGAAUUUUUCCAGAAAUGGGAAUGAUAGGAAACAUUCGGCUAAAGAGUAGCAAUGUCAUGUUUAAAGAUAUUAGUAUGCAAGUACAUUCAAGCAGGUCAAAUUCAAUUUUUUUUAACGUCCUGGCCAGGGGAAUAGGAUGGGACCUCAAUAGGGUAUCAAAGUUUUACAUAAGAAAGGUUUUAAGAAACUUAUUCUUAGCAGGGCCAGGGUUAAUCAUAUCAUUGUUGAAGCAUCCCUGGAUAUUGCGGAUUCAUUUUGGGGAUAUUCAUUGACCACAAUAGUUUUACUCCACCUCUGAGAUCAUUCAUCCUUUCCUUUCGUCACCUCUCUUACAAUGUAUGGGAUGGGGAUUGAAAAUAUUGCUUUUGUAGAUUAUUGACCAUGGGGUAAGGCUGGGUCUAGAAUCGGGAAUAAAAUAGUUCAUGAUAUACGAAUAAAAGAGAACAAGUGGCAUUUCUAUGUUUUGUGGAUUCAAGGCUGGUUAAGGAUGUAUGG
Long non-coding RNA from Ostrea edulis (European flat oyster), 1913 nucleotides. RefSeq lists it as uncharacterized. The transcript has 3 exons. The record is from RefSeq and is a predicted model, not a curated record. NCBI's taxonomy places the organism in Eukaryota, Metazoa, Mollusca, Bivalvia, Ostreida, Ostreidae.